Molecule: ribosomal RNA, 474 nt
Filed under: uncultured bacterium
Lineage: Bacteria
Description: bacterial SSU rRNA
Rfam family: Bacterial small subunit ribosomal RNA
Source: RNAcentral
AGAGUUUGAUCCUGGCUCAGAACGAACGCUGGCGGCGUGCUUAACACAUGCAAGUCGAACGAGAAAGUACCUUCGGGUGCGAGUAGAGUGGCGCACGGGUGAGUAACACGUGGAUAAUCUGCCCUUGAGUUGGGGAUAACUCGCCGAAAGGUGGGCUAAUACCGAAUGACAUUGCCAAUCAUAAGAUUGGUAAUUAAAGGUUUACCGCUUAAGGAUGAGUCCGCGUCCCAUUAGCUAGUUGGUAGGGUAAUGGCCUACCAAGGCGACGAUGGGUAGCUGGUCUGAGAGGAUGAUCAGUCACACUGGAACUGGAACACGGUCCAGACUCCUACGGGAGGCAGCAGUGGGGAAUAUUGCACAAUGGGGGAAACCCUGAUGCAGCGACGCCGCGUGGGUAAGGAAGGUUUUAGGAUCGUAAAGCCCUGUCAAGUGGGAAGAAACAAAUGACGUACCACUAAAGAAGCACCGCUAACU